UACGUAUGGUGCAAGCGUUAUCCGGAUUUACUGGGCGUAAAGGGAGCGCAGGCGGCGCGCCAAGUCUGAUGUGAAACCCCGGGGCUCAACCCCGGGCAUGCAUUGGAAACUGGCGGGCUGGAGUGCCGGAGAGGUAAGCGGAAUUCCUAGUGUAGCGGUGAAAUGCGUAGAUAUUAGGAGGAACACCAGUGGCGAAGGCGGCUUACUGGACGGCAACUGACGCUGAGGCUCGAAAGCGUGGGGAGCAGACAGG
RNAcentral lists this ribosomal RNA (253 nucleotides) under uncultured bacterium. Its description in RNAcentral is "partial 16S ribosomal RNA". It matches the Rfam family "Bacterial small subunit ribosomal RNA", at positions 524 to 776 of the family's 1533-position model. The record is from RNAcentral.